GAUGAAGAACGUAGCGAAAUGCGAUACUUGGUGUGAAUUGCAGAAUCCCGCGAAUCAUCGAGUUUUUGAACGCAAGUUGCGCCCGAAGCCAUUCGGCCGAGGGCACGUCUGCCUGGGUGUCACGCAUCGUUGCCCCCCCAAACUCCGGUUCGGGCGGGGCGGAAGUUGGCCUCCCGUGCGUGCCUGCGCGCGCGGUUAGCCCAAAAGCGAGUCCUCGGCGACGAGCGCCACGACAAUCGGUGGUUUUUUUACCCUCGUUCCUCGUCGUGCGUGUCCCGUCGCCCGAACGCGCUCUUGCGACCCUCACGCGUCGCCUCGGCGGCGCUCCCAACGCGACCCCAGAUCAGGCGGGACUACCCGCUGAGUUUAAGCAUAUCAAUAAGCGGAGGA
This 390-nucleotide unclassified non-coding RNA is filed under the name soil metagenome. RNAcentral's name for it is "partial contains 5.8S ribosomal RNA, internal transcribed spacer 2, and large subunit ribosomal RNA". The stretch from base 1 to 122 matches the Rfam family "5.8S ribosomal RNA", at positions 35 to 154 of the family's 154-position model. The record is from RNAcentral.